GUGCCAGCAGCCGCGGGUAAUACGUAAGAUGGCRAGCGUGUCGGAAUUAUUGGGCGUAAAGGGCUCGCAGGCGGUUUCUUAAGUCUGAUGUGAAAGCCCCCGGCUCAACCGGGGGAGGGUCAUUGGAAACUGGGAAACUUGAGUGCAGAAGAGGAGAGUGGAAUUCCACGUGUAGCGGUGAAAUGCGUAGAGAUGUGGAGGAACACCAGUGGCGAAGGCGACUCUCUGGUCUGUAACUGACGCUGAGGAGCGAAAGCGUGGGGAGCGAACAGGAUUAGAUACCCUGGUAGUCC
RNAcentral lists this ribosomal RNA (293 nucleotides) under uncultured microorganism. RNAcentral's name for it is "partial 16S ribosomal RNA". It matches the Rfam family "Bacterial small subunit ribosomal RNA", at positions 505 to 796 of the family's 1533-position model. The record is from RNAcentral.